This is a non-coding RNA of Cyanistes caeruleus (blue tit), 2297 nucleotides long. The record is from RefSeq and is a predicted model, not a curated record. NCBI's taxonomy places the organism in Eukaryota, Metazoa, Chordata, Aves, Passeriformes, Paridae.
CGCCUUCCCUCGCCAGCCGGGCGGGCAGCGCGGCCCCGGCGCUUCGGGCACAGAGAACAAACGCGCUCCUGCAAAAGAAAGAGUGCGAGUGUGGAGGGAGCGAGAGCCCGGGCUGCGGCAGGGUUUGCCCCGGCCCGGUGACAGCGGGAGGCGGCUGUGCUGAACCAGCGGGGACGCUGCGGGGAGCGGCAGGAGGAGAAUGCUCGGGGUCAGGCGCCUCUCUCGGAUCAGGUCCUGAUGAGAACAGGACACGGGGAGAGGCUGCUAUGGUUUGUGUGUCUGCAAACGGGCAAAGCGUUCGGGACCCGAGGGCUGGAAGUGAGCCCCAGCCUCUGCCCACCCGUGUGUCCACCCCGCGCUGCCUCACAGGUACAUUAAAAACGCAUUUUUGAGCGCUGUCAAAAUUGCACUGCUGGAGGAUUUUUCCAUCUCCGCUCAAGCCUUCUUGUCAGCUUCAGCCUCAGGUUCCUAUUUCUGUUUGUCAUGUUCUGAAUGGAGCGCAGGGCCCAGGGGUGCUGAGCUCUGAGCAGACACAGCUUAGUUAAUCCAAUAGUCCUGUGCUUGUUCUCCUGCUUUUUACAAACAAAUGAACAGUUUAUGUGUGCGGAUCCUUUCAUUCCCCACCAGAACAAUCCUCCGCACAGAACAGGGGAAAACGCCUAGUCAGUCACAGGAAACCAGCACGGUGCUCUGGGGUGGGAAGUGCAAAACACCGCGUCCACCCAACCUGGGUUUCAUAGCACUGCAGGACUGGGAGAGGCAGGGCGCAGGAACUGCCCCAGGUGAGAGCUGGGCUGGCUGCACAGGCUUCCUCAAAGGCAAGGCAGCUUCCCCAGCACUGCUGGCUGCGGGCACUCAGCUGCGGGCCUCAGGCAGGAGAGACACUGGCACAGAGGCAGCAGCAGAGCCCUGCCAGCCUUGGGGACCCCGCGGCACGAGCUCGGGGCUCCGCGCUCGCUCUCCUGCGUGGCUGCUCUGCUGGAUUUUAUUUCCCAGGAGCGCUGCUGCCCACGGCUGUUCCUGCUGAGACACAGGAGCGGUGGGCAGCGUCUGAGUGCCGGGGUGUGAGGAGGCCGGGGAUCCCCCAGGGAGCCCGUGUUUGUCCGUGUGUCUGUCCCAAGAGCCGCCAGAUCCCGGCUCCUGGCCCCAGGAACCACACGGCUCGCCCAAGUGCCUCCCUUUGUUUCAAGCCCUUGGAGCCUGGAGCACUUGUUGAACCUGACGGCGAGUGCAGCAAAGUGGCCGACAAUUAGGAAAUAAACAAAUAUCAUCGGAGGCGUUUUUGGGCGGAAUCCAGUCACACAUAGCUGGGCUCGUUGCUGUUGUUAUCAUAUGGAAUAUUCCUCGUAGCUGUGAUGUUUGUGCUGUGCAGCAGCGUCCCCGGCACGGCAAACAUGGCAUUAUCUCGCUGUGCAAAGGCUUCAUUAAUCACAGCAGACAAUGGGCCCGACACAUCCCUUUGAGCCCGGCGCUGGGAUCCUCCGGGCUUUUCACCUUGUCCAAACGGCUCAUCCCUGUCAGUGCAGGCAGCAGCUCCUCAGAACUGAUCGCUCUGAGCUGUGGCACUGACAGGAGAAUGUCCAAUUCAGUUAACAGAAUUCCCCAGUUAUUUUAUAUUCUCCCUUUAACUUCUCAUGGCUUGUAGAGGCAGAACUUUUUCACUCUUUCUGUCUGUACAUGAGAUCCAUCCAGUCAUUUGUUAAAACUCUACUGAAAGAGCCUGAUAGAUGUGUGUCCUUCAAAGCAGCAGCAGCGCUGAGAUGGAGCAGGAUGGAGUGGCCUGGCUGAGCCGUGGCCCUGCCGACAGGAGCUGCAGGGCGGACAGCAGAGGGAAUGUGUCAUUCUCCUGACAGAGCAUCCUGGCAAAACCACGGCUUGGUGCAGGGGACGGCACACCAAGGGGUGAGGCAGCAGCAGACACCUGAAUGGAGACUCCUCGUGUUUACAGCCUGGUCACAGGAGUGACUGAGACCUGAAAUCUCCCUGACAUCCUCUCUGGCCUCGUUUGUGCCACACCUGCUCCCUUCCACCGGUGUGCACUGCACAGGACACUGGAAAAGCACUUGGAGAUGGUUGGAGGAAGAAGGGGGCUUCCUGGAAAACAGUCCCUAAACCAGGCCCUUCCCUGUGCCCUGGCUUUUCUGGGGCUCGUUAACAUCGGUGGUACGUGCUCAUAUCUCAGUUCUCCAGGAUUAAUUAAAAACCCACAGACAAUGCCAUGCCCAGGGGCUUCGCAAUUAUGUCAGCAGGCUCUGGCUAGGGCCCUUAUGUUUGUAAUAAACAUGACAUGCUUUUAA